RNAcentral lists this ribosomal RNA (375 nucleotides) under uncultured organism. RNAcentral describes it as "partial 16S ribosomal RNA". It matches the Rfam family "Bacterial small subunit ribosomal RNA", at positions 527 to 897 of the family's 1533-position model. The record is from RNAcentral.
GUAGGGGGCAAGCGUUGUCCGGAAUUAUUGGGCGUAAAGCGCGCGCAGGCGGUCUCUUAAGUCCGAUGUGAAAGCCCACGGCUCAACCGUGGAGGGUCAUUGGAAACUGGGGGACUUGAGUGUAGGAGAGGAAAGUGGAAUUCCAUGUGUAGCGGUGAAAUGCGUAGAUAUGUGGAGGAACACCAGUGGCGAAGGCGACUUUCUGGCCUACAACUGACGCUGAGGUGCGAAAGCGUGGGGAGCAAACAGGGAUUAGAUACCCUGGUAGUCCACGCCGUAAACGAUGAGUGCUAGGUGUUAGGGGUUUCGAUGCCCCUUAGUGCCGAAGUUAACACAUUAAGCACUCCGCCUGGGGAGUACGACCCGCAAGGUUAG